This 101-nucleotide microRNA precursor is filed under the name Marmota monax (woodchuck). The record is from RNAcentral. Lineage: Eukaryota; Metazoa; Chordata; Mammalia; Rodentia; Sciuridae.
AGUGGGAUGGCUGGGUCAAAUGGUGGUUCUAUUCCAAGUUUUCUAAGGAAUCUCCAUACUGCUUUCCAGAUUGGCUGCACCCAUUUGCAAACCCCAGCAAU